GGCGAGAUAGCUCAGCUGGCAGAGCAAGCGGCUCAUAUCCGCUCGGUCGUGGGUUCAACCCCCUCUCUCGCUA
Molecule: transfer RNA, 73 nt
Filed under: Spirochaetaceae bacterium
Lineage: Bacteria; Pseudomonadati; Spirochaetota; Spirochaetia; Spirochaetales; Spirochaetaceae
Description: tRNA-Met
Rfam family: tRNA
About the family: Transfer RNA (tRNA) molecules are approximately 80 nucleotides in length. Their secondary structure includes four short double-helical elements and three loops (D, anti-codon, and T loops). Further hydrogen bonds mediate the characteristic L-shaped molecular structure. tRNAs have two regions of fundamental functional importance: the anti-codon, which is responsible for specific mRNA codon recognition, and the 3' end, to which the tRNAs corresponding amino acid is attached (by aminoacyl-tRNA synthetases). tRNAs cope with the degeneracy of the genetic code in two manners: having more than one tRNA (with a specific anti-codon) for a particular amino acid; and 'wobble' base-pairing, i.e. permitting non-standard base-pairing at the 3rd anti-codon position.
Source: RNAcentral